Molecule: ribosomal RNA, 745 nt
Filed under: uncultured Syndiniales
Lineage: Eukaryota; Dinophyceae; Syndiniales
Description: SSU rRNA
Rfam family: Eukaryotic small subunit ribosomal RNA
Source: RNAcentral
UUUUGGUUCUAUUUUGUUGGUUUCUAGGAUUAAAAUAAUGAUUAAUAGGGACAAUUGGGGGCAUUCGUAUCAACACGUCAGAGGUGGAAUUCUUGGAUUGUGUUGCGACGAACUACUGCGAAAGCAUUUGCCAAGGAUGUUUUCAUUGAUCAAGAACGAAAGUAAGGGGAUCGAAGAUGAUUAGAUACCGUCGUAGUCUUUACCACAAACUAUGCCAACUAGAGAUGGGACAUCGUCUUCUUACGACUUGUUCCGCACCUUAUGAGAUAUCAAAGUCUUUGGGUUCCGGGGGGAGUAUGGUCGCAAGACUGGAACUUAAAGGAAUUGACGGAAGGGCACCACCAGGAGUGGAGCCUGCGGCUUAAUUUGACUCAACACGGGGAAACUCACCAGGUCCAGACAUAAUAAGGAUUGACAGAUUGAUAGCUCUUUCUUGAUUUUAUGGGUGGUGGUGCAUGGCCGUUCUUAGUUCGUGGAGUGAUUUGUCUGCUUAAUUGCGUUAACGAACGAGACCUUAACCUGCUAAAUAGAAUCGUAUAUCUUCGGAUAAACGACUUUCUUCUUAGAGGGACUUUGUGCGUUUCAGCAUGAGGAAGUUUGAGGCUAAAACAGGUCUGUGAUGCCCUUAGAUGUUCUGGGCUGCACGCGCGCUACACUGAUGCGUUCAACGAGUGUACAACCUUGCCCGAUAGGGUUGGGUAACCUUUUGAACACGCAUCGUGAUGGGGAUAGAUUAUUGCAAUUA